UCCUAAUAAGGAAGGGUGUCUAAUUGAGC
RNAcentral lists this non-coding RNA (29 nucleotides) under Homo sapiens (human). The record is from RNAcentral. Lineage: Eukaryota; Metazoa; Chordata; Mammalia; Primates; Hominidae.